AGGAGGCAAAGAAGUUGGAUAUCUUAGUGAAAGACAAGAAUGGGGAACCAUAUAUGGUGCCCAAUACAGCAUUUGAUGUAGGGAUGCUGGAUUUGACACAUCCACAUACCGCGAAUUGGUUUAAGCAGAUUCUGCAAGAAAUGGUAGAUGAUGGAGUGAGAGGAUGGAUGGCAGAUUUCGGCGAAGGCCUGCCAGUGGAUGCCUGCUUGUAUUCAGGUAUGAGAAGCACGUGAAUAAAGCAACUUAAAAGAGGAUCAAAUACUAGCACCCCAGUAUUUAAGUUUUCUUUCACCUUAUUGCUGAAUUAACCAAAGUUAACUCCAACAUUUGUGUUUAACUAUUCAGGCGAAGAUCCAAUUGCAGCACAUAAUAGAUAUCCUGAAUUAUGGGCAAAACUCAACAGGGAAUUUGUGGAUGAAUGGCGAAGCACACAUGUAGGCCAAGAAAGAGAAGAUCCAGAGGAGACUUUGGUUUUCUUCAUGAGGGCUGGUUAUAGGGAUACUCCUAAGUGGGCAAUGCUAUUUUGGGAGGGAGACCAAAUGGUGAGUUGGCAAAAAAAUGAUGGUAUCAAGAGUGCAGUGGUUGGCUUGCUUAGCGGAGGACUUUCAGGAUAUGCUCUUAAUCACAGUGAUAUUGGAGGCUAUUGUGCAGUAAACUUACCAUUUUUCAAGUAUCACAGAAGUGAAGAGCUUCUCUUGCGAUGGAUGGAAUUUUCCGCUUUCACCACCGUGUUCCGGACACAUGAAGUAAGUUUAACGUUUCAUUCCCUGGAAAUUAAAUUCCAUGAUUUUUUUUCUUCUUUCCACUCUCAAUGCUGAAAGAUUUGACGAGUUUUGCCAUUUCUGAACAUAUUCAUUCAGGGAAACAAGCCAUCUUGCAACAGCCAGUUCUACUCCAAUAAUAGAACACUGUCACAUUUCGCACGUCUUGCAAAGAUCUACAAAGCAUGGAAGUUUUACAGGAUUCAACUAGUUAAGGUAAUAUACGAUCACAGUUUGGUUUUUCAAAAUAAAAAAUUUAAACCAAAAGAUCUAAGAAAUAGUACCUUGUUGAAUUACACAGGAAGCCUGUCAGAAAGGGCUACCAAUUUGUCGACAUCUCUUCCUUCACUAUCCAGAAGAUGAACAUGUACAUAGCUUAACACAUGAGCAGUUCCUAGUUGGCACAGAGAUACUUGUGGUACCCGUGCUAGACAAAGGCAAAGAAUAUGUUAAGGUCUAUUUUCCGAUAGGAGAAAGCUCUUCAUGGAAGCAUAUUUGGACAGGAAAACUGUAUUCAACACAAGGUUCCGAAGCUUGGGUGGAAGCAUCAAUAGGAUAUCCUGCCAUUUUUGUUAAAGUUGGUUCUCCUGUUGGAGAAACCUUCCUGGGAAAACUUAACAAAUACAAUGUCUUAUAAUUCAACAGCCUAGAGAUAGAUGAUGUAAUUGGUUUUAGGGCACAUAACCAUGAAAGUAGCAUUUAACAUUCUUUCUAUUCCAUAAGUACAUGGAUGUUGGGGAUAAUACAUGUGUAAAGUAGUAAAGAAUUUAUUUAGUAGAAUCAUUUGACUUUAUACCAAAGACUAUAAUCGCAUUAAAAUUUCACCAGAAGUUGAACAAACGGAAAUUAUUUGUAGAGUUUGUGACCACCCUUCUGCAUGAGGGAAUAAAUACAGCAGUCUGUAGGAAUAAGUAAAUCCCUUAGAUAUUCCUGAUUAGAGAUUUGAAUCUUUGCACCUUUAAGCGCCCGUAGACUAUCAUUUCAUUAAAAUUUCACCAGAAGUUGAACAACAAUCUUAUAUAUGUGACAUAUAUGCCAUUUAUUAGUCAGAUCUUCUGAAUAGGUACAACCACGCGCCUCGUACCCAACAAAAGAAACUAGAUUGCCCUUGUCUGCGUGCAUGAGCAAAAAUUUUCUAACAAUUGGUGAACUGUUAACAAAAUUGUAAAAAUGCUCAACUAGGUGCUGUUAGGAAGAGAAUGUUGACAUGCUUCAAAACUGUUAUACACCAAAACCACAUUCUUCAAGCUUAAUUAUCAGUUAUUGAUUUUGGCUAAGUGGAAUGCAUGAACCAGUAAGUACAGUUUGAUUUUAGCUGCUGCCAACCAAAACAACCAAAGUCCCAUUAUUUCAAAAGGUUGCUAUAUAUAGUUACAAUUAUUCCAUAUGUCACAUGCUGCGUGUUGGAGCUUUGAGAGGAAAAAAUUGACUUAAGUACUUGCCUUUAGUGAGUUAACAUCCAAACCUGACUCUCUCAACCAUCUAAGUUUUCUGAACAGUGUGUUCCAACUAAAAGUAGCAAAAAAGUGAGCAAAUAAUCAAAGCUUCUAGCUUUCAGUUACAUUCAAAGAAUAUAUUCAUUGAUACAAAACCUUAUUUUCUUGUCAGCUGCUUAGGACACAAUUACUGAUAUAUUAAGUUCAAACUCAUAUGAUGUAGAGAGUUUCCUUGCCUCAAUUGCCCUGCUAGCUAAAAUUCCAACAGAAUCUAACUGAGUAGAUUGAGAAGCCCCAACAAUUAAGAGAAAAAAUAGAGCCAGAGCAGAACACACUAUAGCCUACAUGUUUAAAGAGAAGAGCAGAAACGAACCUGUUUGCAGUAGAACUUAAAUAAAAAGCAGAACCUGAGCUGCCGGCGUUCGACCGUCAAUUUCGUGAAUCGCCGGGUCUUCCUGUUGAUUUCGUUGCGAUUUGAUCGAUUUGCCUGUUGGGCUCUUUGAGCACACCAAUUUAUGCGCUAUUCACGCGAAGAGAAUUUUAAAGGUUGCAUGAUAUCAAGCAGCAAUUGGAACGGAACUAAAACGGUUCUAUACUUCUAUUGAAGUGUUCAUUAACCAAUUUUAU
This 2824-nucleotide long non-coding RNA is filed under the name Nicotiana tabacum (common tobacco). RNAcentral describes it as "long non-coding RNA (NTAB_LNC001486)". Lineage: Eukaryota; Viridiplantae; Streptophyta; Magnoliopsida; Solanales; Solanaceae. The record is from RNAcentral.